GGGUGGGAUAGGAGGGGAGCUAGGCGUACCCUGUACCACAAACCGUCUUUAUGGUGGUCCGAACGCCCCCGAACGGCGCAAACGAGGCUUAGGGAUCCAGCAUGAGAACGAUGAGGUUUCGCCCCCAUGUGACCCGGGCCGGCAUGGACUCCAAUCGGAGGAUUGGAGCGAAUGCACUCGCCGGGGAAUCAGGUCAGGCCGGGAACGGAGCAGCCCGACUCGGAGUUUCGGGUGCCGUGGGAAAGCGGAACUGAGAACUCGGUUGGGACGUUUCUAAGUCUACGUGCGACAAUCGGGGGCCCUCCCACUC
Molecule: signal recognition particle RNA, 310 nt
Filed under: Methanobacteriota archaeon
Lineage: Archaea; Methanobacteriati; Methanobacteriota
Description: Euryarchaeota archaeon signal recognition particle sRNA
Rfam family: Archaeal signal recognition particle RNA
Source: RNAcentral